CGUCGUCCUCCUCGGCCUCGUUUCGACUUCCGGCGCCUGCGGUUGUUCGUCCCCGGCUCGCUCCCCGGCGUCUGAUCGUGAGAGGAUGCGGUGAUUCGGUGGAGUUCACAGGAAAAAGGAGGAGACGAAGACCAGGGAAUGGGUACGGAGGUGCCGGUGGCGUGAGGAGCCUCGGUCGGCUAUGAGAGGAGGAGGAGGGGGGAUUCCCCUCUUUUUCUUCUCCGGUAGCAACCGGAGGAUCCCUCUCAGAUUCCGUCAGCUUUCCCCGGGAUCCUUCGCGAGGAUCAAGCCGCUCCUCUACUGGUGCCUGGCCUUCGCACUCCUCCUCCUCCUCCUCCUCUGCCGCCGCCCCUCUCACUCUUCCGGAACAUCCCUUUGUCCCGGGAAAGGUUACACUAUACUGAUUAACACAUGGAAGAGAAAUGACCUUCUGAAGCAAUCUGUUGUCCAUUAUGCUUCUUGUGUUGGAGUUGAAUCUAUUCACAUAGUGUGGAGUGAGCCUGAUCAACCUUCGGAUUCCUUAUGCGAUGCUUUGUGGCAAGCUGCACAACUAAAUUCAAGAGGUUGCAAUGGUACUGAGCUAAGAUUCGACUUAAAUGAAGAAGACAGUCUAAACAACAGGUUCAAGGAAAUCAUGGAUUUGGAGACAGAUGCUAUCUUUUCAAUCGAUGAUGAUGUUCUAUUUCCUUGUGCUUCAGUAGAGUUGGCUUUCAGAGUCUGGCAAAGCGCCCCUACCACGAUGGUAGGAUUUGUACCUCGUAUGCAUCGGCUGGAUAGGAUGAAUUUCUUCUUUAGUUCAAAAAUUCCUGUCCAGAAAGGGAAUGAGGAAUACUAUAGGUAUGGAGGGUGGUGGUCCGUUUGGUGGAUGGGCACUUAUAGUAUGGUCCUCUCGAAGGCAGCAUUUUUCCACAGGAGGUAUCUCAAUCUUUACACAAACCACAUGCCUGCAUCUAUUCGUCAUUACGUAACCAAAUAUAGGAACUGUGAAGACAUUGCAAUGUCAUUCCUUGUCGCAAACACAACAGGUUCUCCUCCUAUAUGGGUGAAAGGAUGUGGAUCGCAAAUUGAUGAUGUUAAAUUGGAUUUUAUAUUAGUCAAACGGAUUCGGAUUCUGUUCUCAUUCCCAAUGGGCUGGGCCAAGAAACCUUUCGGCCGACAUCGGCAUUGGAUGCAGCGGCCUUUUAAUGGACAAUGUCGCGGACAAAUCUUGAAUAGCUUCUUAUCCGUUCUCUUCCAUCUCUCGCUCGCUCUCGCCCUCACGAUGGCGCUUCUCACCCUGGGACUGGAGAUGGGCGCCGCUCCCGUCGCCGUCGCCGUGGCCGCCUCGCGCCUCUCCUUCUCGCGGAGCGGGAGCCUCGUGGGUUCGUCCUCUGUCGUCUCCCUGUCUCUUCUGUCGGCCUCGACGCCCCUCACCUCCGCGCACGCUCCUCCUCCUUCCCUCUCCAUUAACUGCGGCAGAGGCGAUAAGAAGACCGCGAAAGGGAAGCGGUUCAAGCAUUCCUUCGGAAACGCGCGGCCUCGGGACAAGACGAAGGGGAGAGGUCCGCCGCGGUCUCCGGUGCCGCCCUCGCCGCCUAAGAAGGACCGUUUCGAUGAUGGAGAGAUCGUCAAGAUCGAAAUCGAUGAGUCCCUCUUCUCCUAGCUCUUCUGAACAUUGCUUUUCUCGAUCUGUACUUCCUCGUGUAGCUUUUUCUGCAAGUCGGAUUGCCUAAUCUUAACUCGUUGAACUUUCUCUGAUAUUUGCAUCUACCGAUGAAGACGUUGAAAUUUACGAUCGCAACACCCCCUUUUUG
RNA transcript from Musa acuminata AAA Group (dessert banana), 1793 nucleotides. It is a transcript of the gene named glycosyltransferase - 30S ribosomal protein S31 readthrough pseudogene, with no coding region annotated. NCBI's taxonomy places the organism in Eukaryota, Viridiplantae, Streptophyta, Magnoliopsida, Zingiberales, Musaceae. The record is from RefSeq and is marked validated.